RNAcentral lists this long non-coding RNA (7616 nucleotides) under Lactuca sativa (garden lettuce). RNAcentral's name for it is "long non-coding RNA (LSAT_LNC002812)". The record is from RNAcentral. Lineage: Eukaryota; Viridiplantae; Streptophyta; Magnoliopsida; Asterales; Asteraceae.
AUCAAGAAGUGAAAUCAUAGAUCUAAAUGAAAAACUUACCAAAGAUGAUGAUCUAGGUGAAGAUCCUCUUGAAACUACACACCAAACACGAGAUUUUUGAUGGAAGAAGGAAGAGGUUUUUGAAAGAAAAAUGGAGGUGGUGAGAGGGUUUGGCCGAGAGUGUGGAGAGAAGAGAGAGAGAGAUCAUAAUCUUGUUAUUUGUGAGGUAAUACCUAGUCUUGAAACAUGAGAUUCUACCAUAGUUAUAUGGUGGUUAAACAUGAGUUGUCAUAUACAUGUUUAAUCUUCAUUUAUCCAUUCUUUCCCCUUUUUUUUAUUAUUUAUCUAUGGCCGAAAAUUGGGCUAGGGAGGUAAAAAAACAUUUACUUUGGGCCCAAUCUUGGUCUUUCCUUGAAAUCAUAAGGCCCAACAAUUUCUUUUCGGCUUAUUGAGCUCUUAAGGUGGUUUAUGACCCAAUAUGGCUUAAAAGAAUGGGUUAUGGUCCAUUAGGGCUAAUUUGAGUUGUUAUGGUCCAAUAGGCCCAUUAAAGGCAAACAAAAUUAUUUUAGGCCCAUUAUGGCCCAAAAUGUUAUGUUUCAUGAAGGUGGGUCCAAUUAGAGCCCAUUUAGGGUUCCUAGGCCCAAGAUGGUGAAGUUGGAGAUUUAUUGGUCCAUUAGACCCAAUAAGAGAAUCCUAGCCCAUAAUGAACUUGAUUUGGGAUUUCUAGGGUAUCCAGCCCUUAUUUUAACAUAUGAGAUAUAAAUGAAUGGGAAAAGAGUAUAUUAUUCAUUUAGAGUAUAGGCUUUUACAAUGGAUGAUGUUUAUAUGAGAUUAUAAUUUCCUAGCUAAAAAUGCUAGUUGUGACAUCACCCCCCCGUUAGAGGGAAUUUCGUCCCGAAAUUCUUUCGAAAGAUAGGUUCAUAAAUGAGAGAAUAGGUACUUCGUCUGAUCUUCGCGUUUCCAUGUGAAUUUCGGUCCACGCUUAGUGUUCCAUCGAACCUUCACAAUCAAAAUGUGGCUUUGUUUUGUACGCUUUACUUUCCUACCCAAUACUUCGACUGGUUCUUUGGCGAUUAGGAGAUUCUCGUUUAUUUCGAUUUCUUGUAAAGGAAUGAUAAGAGUCUCAUCUGAUAUGCAUCUUUUCAGAUUCGAGACGCGGAACACAGGGUGUACGUAGCUGAGCUCUACAGGCAGUUGCAGCCUAUAAGUCUUUGGACCAAUCCGAGCAAGAAUCUCGAACAGUCCGAUGUAUCGUGGGUUUCGUUUUCUUGGCUCCUAAAGCGAAUCAUACCUUUCCAAGGAGAUUCCUUUAAUAACAUGCGAUCCCCGACUUGACAUCCUAAUGGCUUACGUCGCUUGUCAGAAUAGCUCUUAUGUCGAUCUCGCGAUGUUUGAAGUCUAGCUUUGAUUUGGAUUAUUUUCUCUGUUGUUUCGCAAAUGGUUUCUGGUCUCAUAAGAAUACUGGCGAGUGAUCUGCAUUUAUGACUAUAAAGAGUUUCGAAAGGAGCAAUCUUGAUGCUCGAGCGAUAGUUGUUAUUGUAUGAGAAUUCAGUCAAGGGCAACCGGGUAUCCCAUGACUUGCUGAAUUCAAACACUCAGGCUCGGAGCAUGACUUCAAGUGGUCGAAUGGUUUGUUCACUUUGGCUAUUGGUUUGAAGGUGGUAAGCAACGCUUAUAUCUAGUUAUGUUCCCAUAGCCCUCUGAAGUGACUGUCAUAGUCUUGAAGAAAAUCUGUUAUCUCGAUCCGAGAUAGUAGAUACCGAUAUUUCAUGGAGUCUCACGAUCUCCUGGAUAUAGAUCCCAGCUAACCUUUUCGUCUUGUUUGAUUUCUGUGCUAGCAGGAAAUGGGCAGAUUGGGUUAACCUAUCGACGCUCACCCAGAUAACGCCCAACUCAACUCUUAUAACAAUAAGCUUCGUCUUUCGACUUCGAGAGUUUUGUCCAUCCUUGCAGUGCUUCCUCCGCGAUAUUCUCUGGCUUCAAUGCUUUCAAGGCUGGUCGUAAGUGUUGACAGUGUUUUGUUCUUGCUUCGCGAGCAGACGAGUAUGCUAUUGAUGAAAAUAAUGAAAGGGCUAACUAGGAAUGGUUGGGAAACUCGGUUAGUAAGGUUCAUGAAUACCGUGGGAGCAUUCGUUAGACCGAAGGGUAUCAUAAUGAAUUUGAAAUGGUCGUGACGAGUUCGGAAGGCAGUUUUUGGAAUGUCGUCUUCUCAGACUCGAAGUUGAUGAUAACCAGUUCUUAGAUCUAUUUUUAGAGAAGUAACUAGAUCCUUAGAGCUGGCCAAAUAGAUCGUCAGUCCGAGGGAGUGGGUAUCGAUUAUUGAUAGGGAGCUUAUUCAAUUUCCUAAAAUCGAUGAACCUUCUAAAGGAUCCGUCUUCUUGAAGAACAAGAUCAGAGCUCUUUAGGUAGAGAAGCUUGGUCUGAUGAAUCCUUUGCGCAACAAUUCUACUCAGUUGACUGGAUAACUUGUGAAUUUUCGGCGGGAGUCGACCUAUAGGGUGAAUUGGCAAUUGAUGUGGUUCCCGGUAUUAGGUCGAUUCGAAUUUCGACCUGUCUCUCGGGGUAUUCCCGGAAGUUCUCCAGGGAAUGCAUCCGGAAAAAUAGCAUGCUACUGGAAUACUUUGUAUGCUUACGUCUGCCUUGGUCUUGACCACAACAAGAGUGAGGAAAACGUAGUUCUUCUGGUGCAGGCACUUCUGUGCCUUGAUGCACGAGAUAGGAAGAGGAUUGGCACCAAGUUUAUCACCAUGGAUUAUUAGAGUUUUGUGAUUGGGAAGGUGAAGGCAAACGGCCCUCUCGCGACACAUAGUAUCAGCAUGGUAGGGGCUUAACCCAACCAUGCCGAUUAUCACAUCAAAACUCCUAAUAUUUACUGGCAUUAAAUUUUAUUUGAAAUGAAUGGUUGUUUAGUGUUAAGGUUUACUCCACAAAAAUAUCCUAUGUUAAUUUGGUUUUUCCUCAUUGGCCAUGUCCACCGUAAAGGCUUAGCUUAGCUUUGGGGUUAUUGUUUUAGUAAGUGCUCGAAUUUGUUACUAACGAAACUUCACUCAGCUUCACUAUUGAAUAAGGGGUAAGCGGAAGAGUUGUUNUACCAGUAACAACUGUCGGGUAUUGAUCUGCUUUGCCUUAACCCAAGGUCAGGACCAUUUCUGAUCCUUCUGCUCCUCGAUUGUUAUCCCUGGGGCAAUUGCGCCUGAUGUGACCAGUUCCUCCACACCUAUAGCAGGUGCGACUGGUCUCAUCAUUGGUGUUGUUGUUAGGGUUGUUGCGAUUGUUGUCGUUUUCAUUUGGCUGACGAUUCUGGCAUGGAUAAGUUCUACAGAAUUUGGCGAUGUGAUUCUUUCGGUUGCAUUUGUUACAAUGCAUCUCCCGGCAGGCUCCAUUAUGAUGGAAUUUGCACUGGUUGCAUUUUGGAAGGUUUCCAGCAUAUGGUCUCCUGGUUGCUGGUGUAAUAGGGGUCAUGGUCGCAUGAACAGCAACAACAUGUUGCUUCCUUGAGAACCCUUGAGUGUGUUUUCCCUUUCUCUUACUUCUAGAUCUCAGCUUCCUACUCUUAAGCUUGGGGUUUGGAGUUCCUUGAUUGGUUGUCACUUGUUGGUUUCCAUGUUCGUUCCUUUGGCUGGAGUUGUCAAUGCUAUUCCCGCCUCCAUUGGGGUUGUUUGCAGUGAUUUGCGCCAUUGCAACGGUUACUGCUGCCGUUACAGCAGCUUGGAAUGUAGCAGAGUCCAUCUGCAGGAGCGGUGUCUCGUGGGUGCGCUUGUUAUUCUUGCGGGAUGGCAUUUUCCUGCUGCACGUUGAUAAUCCAGAUCGUAAGUAAUGAUCGUCAUUUCUGGUUGUACUCUAUAAAUUUUGCAUCUUGUAUAAUUCUUACUGCCGCCAUCUACAUCCCUAUGAUGUAUUUACGGUAGUAGGUAAUCGCAGAUUUGGCACGAUCGUUACGUCUACCCUCAGAGGAUGUGGAUUGUUUCGGUUUCGAGAUCCUUAAGUACCAUCUUAGUACACGAAAGAGUGUCAUAUCGGUUGGUAAGGGGGGAAAAGAAAAGGUUGAUCCUAAUUGUGGCGGGAAGUGUCUGGUGGUGGUGCUGAUGAAGUUGAUGCACCUCGGAGACGAGCUACUUGUUGCUCGGUAUCUCGUAGUCGUACUUCCCAAACUAACUGUCUCGCUCGGGAGUCUCCGUUCACUUCCUUUGUUUGUCUCUUGUCUCUCUCAAUAGCAAACCGCAUUUGUUCCGUUCAAUUUGGGGUGUCCUGAGCUCGGUUAUCAAUGCCUCAGGUGCGCCGGACCAUGACUGGGAGAGCCCAGUCAGCUGGUCCUCUAUGGCUAAUGGUCGGAGAGACCUUGGUUCCUACCCUAGUGUGGUCGUAUCCCCUGCUGGUGACUCUAUCUCCAAAUUUCGUAAGCCCAAGGGGGCAUGGGGCCACCGGGGCCCACACGAUAAGUCGGUACUCUGGCUUUUCAUGGAUGAUUGAUGACAUCAGAUUCUGCAUCCGAGUCAUCAUCAUCAUUGCCCUUGGGCUCUUCCUCUUCGAGGUCCACUAUUGACUCAGCGGGUUCACCUGCGAGUUCUACUUCAUGUUCCUCAUGUGGUUCUUCCUCUGGGUCGAGCCACCCUACUAUUCCUCGACUAGGGAGAUAGGGUUUCCUGGCUAAUGAUACUUGUCUAUAGCGUAUUGCACGAAGGGCUAUGAAUACUAGAAACAAAUAGCAUACAAAUUACUCCUAUAAUUCUACAACUAUUGCAUAGAUUUUGUUGAGGUUCCCUUCUUGGAGAUUAAGGGGUAUGUUUUUAGAUUCCCUAGCUAUCACGAUUUCUUCUAGACAUGUGAUGGUUAUACCUUGGAGGGAAUGUAGUUGAUCAAGCUACAUCCAUCCCUUGAUACAACUAAGAACAGUCCUGGCUUAACCGAGAUACUAGUCUUAUCUUGUUUGGUUCGGUAUUAUGUUCUUUUUCCUAAUACAAGCAAGGGUGUUUUUAUUGUUAUGUUUUACUUGUUUUGUUCAGAGUUGUGUUAGUCCCUCUUUUGGUUUAUAGUUGCAUAUCAAUGUGUGGUUAGAUAUGCUAGUUCACUAUAAACAGAGCUCUGAUACCAACCUGUCACACCCCCGAACCAGACGGCGGAAACGUCCGAGGGCUAUUGUGNGUACAAUUAGUGACUCAAUUGAAUACCAUCGCAAUGAAUAUACAUGAAACAUAACAUCAUUCAUCACCAAGCAUUGAAAUAUUACAACUGGUAGUUUUUACAUUUGUACAUUGUUCCAUAACAUUACAUUCCCAAAAAGUAGAUUGUUCAAUACUAGUUAAACAGACAUCACUGAGUACAUUUUUCCCUUCGAUUUACCUGUUACCUGAGAAUACAAGUAUUUUGAAAAACGUCAACAUAUGAAAUGUUGGUGAGUUCAUAAGUAAUGUUUGAAAUACAAUGUUUUGUAUUGUUUUGAAAACCACCAGAAAAUCCGAUAUUUUCUGAAAAGAGUAUAGUAUAAAAAGUGUGAAGAUCCGUAAGUAUGCUUGUUUGUUUCUAUAAAUGUAAAAGUACAAUUUGUAAACUCGGUAUGCAUAUCGUAGGUGUAUUAAUUGAAAACCCUAGGAAAACCCGAUGUUUUCCUAAUACUAUGAAUCAAGUGUUUUAUAUUUUGUUAUACCGUUACGACGUGUGUAUUCGAUGAGUCCAGGUGACAUUGGAUUAAUUAUGGAUUGUGAAUUGUUAUAAACACGCAUUAAUGAAAACGACUAGUUUACAACUAUACAAACGAUCCCUUAGGCGUCGUUCGUACUAUUCACUUAAUCCAACCACCCUUACUUCUCAUAGCCCCACAACCGAGGAGAAAAAGAGGGUGCGAAGCCCCCGAUAUUUCCAUAAGUCGUUCAAGGCUAUCGUGAAUGCGAAGGGCCCUUAGCCCGACUCGCAUUUGGUGAAUUCUCGACUUUACUAGCAGUACCAGAGGACCCUUGGGGCCCAACAGCACAUAAGCCAUUGAAAGUCCUUUUACACGGAAUUAGGUCAUAUAAGACCCAACUACAUGUAAGCGAGUUUCCUUCGGGCCUAAAGAUCAUGUCAUUGGGCUAGCUAGGCCCAACAAGCACGAUUUGAAACUUUCGGGCCCAAAGACGGUGUAUCGACGUUUGGUGUAUUCCCACGUGUGUAUUGACAUCCCGAAAUUUCCGCGUGUGUAUUGAAUUCCCGAGGUUUCCGCGUGUGUAUUGAAGUAUCGUCGUGUUAUUAAUUUCGGAUUCGUUAUUGAUUCGAGACCGAAUCAAUUCGUUUGAUAACGAAUUUUGGUGUUGAAGGUGUAUUAUAUUUCGCCGAUAGUCGAGGUACUAGUAUUUCAUCAUGUCGGAUUUAUUGUUUAAAACAUUAGAGUUUUACUUUUUGCAGCCCCUUUCUUUUGGAUCAAUUUACACUUUUGACCCUUUGUAUAAAAGAAUUUCUAUUUUAGUCCUUAAACCAUUUUUCUUGACACUUUAGUAUCAAAACUUUGUAGAAAAAGGUAUUUUCAGCUCAAAAUUAUUUGAAAAACAGUUUUAGUCCCUCAAAAUGAAUUUUUCUCGGCUGGAACCUUUAUUUUUGCAAGUUUUACACUUUUGGCCCAAAAUAGAAAAUUUUUGCAUCUUUGGUCCCUUUUAAAUAUGAAAAGUAUUUUUAACCCUUGAAAAGGACUUGGAGCACUAGUAGUCCCCUGUUUUGCAGAAAGAUACAGUUUCAGCCCCUCUAAUUUGAAAAUCUCGCAUUUUGGGCCUUAUUGGGCCGAAAAGUUCAUUUUUGGCCCAUUAUGCUUAAAAUUUCACAUUUUGAUCCUUCAAAAGAGUAUAUUUCUAUAAAAUACAUUGUUGAAACUGUUUUGACUCAUCUCAACCAUCAGAGUUUGUAUUUUGUCAUUUUGGGCCCUUUAACCUUAUAUUUUUAACAUUUUGAGUCCAAAAAUGGGAUUUUUAGCCCAAAGAGUUCAUAUUAACCAACUUGGUUAUUUUUCUAGAGUUGAUUUGUAUGAAAUAAUAUGAUUUAUACUUAUUUCAUUCAACCUAAGGUAGAUCUCGGGUUUUGAGUUCUUUUUGACUAGAUCCAACACCAUAAUCACAUAAGAACAUGUAAAUAAACAUAGAAAUCACACAAAGCAUACAUAUACUCAUAGAUCUACACAUUUGCUUGUAUUCUCCCCCCACAAAACUUAUAAAAACCGAAAAAUAGGGGGUAUGAAGCUCACCUUGGGGUUUGGAAGUCGGUUUUGAUGAAGAAGUGAAGAGAUCUCGACCCUAGAUGUGUUAUGGAGAUGAUUUUUCGAGCUCUAUGGUGCUAUAAGAGUAUGAUUCACGAAAGUAUGGUGUAAGAGGAGAUUUUUGAAUAGAUUAAGAAGUGAAAUCAUAGAUCUAAAUGAAAAAACUUACCAAAGAUGACGAUCUAGGUGAGGAUCCUCUUGAAACUACACACCAAACUUGAGAUUUUUGAUGGAAGAAGGAAGAGGUUUUUGAGAGUGUUUGAGAGAGUUUUUGAAAGAAAAAUGGAGGUGGUGAGAGGGUUUGGCCGAGAGUAUGGAGAGAAGAGAGAGAGAGAUCAUAAUCUUGUUAUUUGUGAGGUAAUACCUAGUCUUGAAACAUGAGAUUCUACCAUAGUUAUAUGGUGGUUAAACAUGAGUUGUC